CAGACCUCCCUCCACUUGGUCCGGGCAAGAAGGCAGGACCCGACCUCUCUCGGACCUUCACGGUCAAAGAAAGCACACCAAAACUCGGCUGUCCUUAAACGAGACGAGUUUCCUUUUCCCGAGCUGCACACCCCCGGGGGUGCUUGCGCUUCCGUGCCCGCCUCACGGCUCAGACCCUUGAUAAGGGACCGGUAACUUCAGCUGCGAGCCCCGAGGUGCCCUGGUGAGCUGCUGUGUGAGGUGAAUUCUCCUCCGUGCCCUAAUCGGGGCGAUAUUGACAUGAACACACACGGCACACGCACUUUGAGACGGUCCAGAAGCAAUUAAUGUGUUUUAACUGAUCUAGAUCUUAACCUCCCAGACCCACGCCGUGCUCUAGGUGCUUUAUUCCUCCCCUCUUGCUAAUGCUAUUAGGAUGUUAUUAGGGGAAGCAGGGCGACGAGAAAGCGGAUUCUCCAACCAAACGCAGGAAAUAGUUAACAGACCCUCGGAUAUAAGCGAUCCCGAACGCAUCUCCCACAUAUAAUCACCGAAAUACUGCAGAAUUGGAGCAAACGCCCACCAGCACAGCACGGCUGCUGGUCGCUCUCGCGGUGUCAAAGGUCAGUGCCUUUUAGCCCUUAUCUUAUUGAAUACACUCUUGAUAAUGAUCGGAAACCGAGAUAUCUUACCGGGACGUAAGGCAGCGAAAGAAAACACGAAGAAACGGUGGAAGAAAUCAGCCUUAUGGUUUUGCCUCACUGUUGAAAUGUUUUGUCUAACCCCUGAAUUCUGACUAUUCUUCACUGAUGGCAGGACUCUUAUUUACAUAAUGUGACAACUGGGUGUAACCAGCUGAAACUAGAGCCAAUUAAGAGACAGUUUCCCCACAGUGCCUCUCCUGAGAAGCUGCUACAAGACCACUACUUGCAGUAGGAGGGAGGAAGCUCCAAGGCUUGUUUGCUUCAUGUAAUUCCUCUCAGAUAUAGCUGUGAGAUGAGCAGAGAAUCACAAUUUCUUAGGUCUGCUGAUAGUUCAGUGAUGCUACAUUUUUGAAACAUGCCAAAACCUUAGGAUCUGCUGGAGUCUGUUUUUAAUUUUGGCUUUGGCACAACAUGCUGUUGGUACAUGACUAAAGCCAGCCACUUGUCAGAGCAGCCAUCUGGCCAUAGACUUUGCUGAUCAGGACAUGGCUUGAC
Molecule: long non-coding RNA, 1178 nt
Filed under: Anas zonorhyncha (Eastern spot-billed duck)
Lineage: Eukaryota; Metazoa; Chordata; Aves; Anseriformes; Anatidae
Description: lncRNA (ENSAZOG00000014271.1)
Source: RNAcentral